Molecule: ribosomal RNA, 437 nt
Filed under: uncultured Candidatus Brocadia sp.
Lineage: Bacteria; Pseudomonadati; Planctomycetota; Candidatus Brocadiia; Candidatus Brocadiales; Candidatus Brocadiaceae
Description: bacterial SSU rRNA
Rfam family: Bacterial small subunit ribosomal RNA
Source: RNAcentral
GUGACGAAGCGACGCCGCGUGCGGGAAGAAGGCCUUCGGGUUGUAAACCGCUGUCGGGAGUUAGGAAAUGCAAGGAUGUUAAUGGCGUUCUUGCUUGACUAAGGCUCCGGAGGAAGCCACGGCUAACUCUGUGCCAGCAGCCGCGGUAAUACAGAGGCGGCAAGCGUUGUUCGGAAUUAUUGGGCGUAAAGAGCACGUAGGCGGCUGUGUAAGUCGGUUGUGAAAGCCUUCCGCUUAACGGAAGAACGGCAUCCGAUACUGCAUAGCUUGAGUGCGGGAGGGGAGAGUGGAACUUCUGGUGGAGCGGUGAAAUGCGUAGAUAUCAGAAGGAACACCGGCGGCGAAGGCGACUCUCUGGUCCGUAACUGACGCUGAGUGUGCGAAAGCUAGGGGAGCAAACGGGAUUAGAUACCCCGGUAGUCCUAGCCGUAAACGAU